CAUUAUCAAAGUUUUGUUUUUAGUUCGGAUAGACAGUUGUGGAGCUAAUUAUCCCAUCCAUAUUCAAAAUUAAAGGUGAUGUUAUUUUAGAAAUGUAACCCUUAAUAUCUAAGUUGCACGGAUUCUUCACUUUUGAUGUCGCAUUCAUAUCAAAUUCUCCAAAAAUACACUACUUUUGAAGAAUCCGACACGCAGCCCUUGAUACUUUGGAAGAUUGUCCGAGCAAAGAUGGCUUAAAAUUAUCAAAGAUGGCUUAAAAUUAUUAUGCACUCUUCAGUCGAGAACGCAUUUCAUCUCCCAGCAGAUUAGACAACUUGCCCAUGCAAUUGCUUGGCCACCAAGGAUGAGAAAAACCACAUCCUAGUUCCUAUGAAACACAAGAUGAUUGCAUUAAUAAAUUAGAGAAUGUAAUCUAAAGCAACUGAAGAUAUCUUUGACAAAAAGAAACACGACAGCUGAGUAAGCUUAACAUCAGAUCUUC
This 481-nucleotide long non-coding RNA is filed under the name Capsicum annuum. RNAcentral describes it as "long non-coding RNA (CANN_LNC003814)". Lineage: Eukaryota; Viridiplantae; Streptophyta; Magnoliopsida; Solanales; Solanaceae. The record is from RNAcentral.